GCAUGGUGGUGUACAUCGGUAGUCCCAGCUACUUGGGAGGCUGACACAGGAGGAUUGCCUUAGUCCGGGAGCUCUCGCUGUAGUGCACUGUGCCGAUCAGGUAUCCACGCUAAGUUACACAUCAAUAUGGUGACCUCCUAGGAGCAGGGGGCCACCAGGUUGCCUAAGGAGGGGUGAAUCAGCCCAGGUCAGAAAUGGAGUCGGUCAAAACUCCCAUGCUUAGACCAGACACAGUAGCUCACACCUGUAAUCCCAGCACUUUGGGAGGUCGAGGAGGGCAGAUCACCUGAGGCCAGGAGUUCAAGACCAGCCUGGCCAACAUGGCAAAACCCCAUCUCU
RNAcentral lists this signal recognition particle RNA (339 nucleotides) under Cebus imitator (Panamanian white-faced capuchin). RNAcentral describes it as "Metazoan signal recognition particle RNA (ENSCCAG00000013482.1)". It matches the Rfam family "Metazoan signal recognition particle RNA". Rfam says of the family: The signal recognition particle (SRP) is a universally conserved ribonucleoprotein. It is involved in the co-translational targeting of proteins to membranes. The record is from RNAcentral. Lineage: Eukaryota; Metazoa; Chordata; Mammalia; Primates; Cebidae.